AUUGAACGCUGGCGGCAGGCCUAACACAUGCAAGUCGAACGGUAACAGGAAGAAGCUUGCUUCUUUGCUGACGAGUGGCGGACGGGUGAGUAAUGUCUGGGAAACUGCCUGAUGGAGGGGGAUAACUACUGGAAACGGUAGCUAAUACCGCAUAACGUCGCAAGACCAAAGAGGGGGAGCUUCGGGCCUCUUGCCAUCGGAUGUGCCCAGAUGGGAUUAGCUAGUAGGUGGGGUAACGGCUCACCAAGGCGACGAUCCCUAGCUGGUCUGAGAGGAUGACCAGCCACACUGGAACUGAGACACGGUCCAGACUCCUACGGGAGGCAGCAGUGGGGAAUAUUGCACAAUGGGCGCAAGCCUGAUGCAGCCAUGCCGCGUGUAUGAAGAAGGCCUUCGGGUUGUAAAGUACUUUCAGCGGGGAGGAAGGGAGUAAAGUUAAUACCUUUGCUCAUUGACGUUACCCGCAGAAGAAGCACCGGCUAACUCCGUG
RNAcentral lists this ribosomal RNA (490 nucleotides) under uncultured bacterium. RNAcentral describes it as "partial 16S ribosomal RNA". It matches the Rfam family "Bacterial small subunit ribosomal RNA", at positions 30 to 507 of the family's 1533-position model. The record is from RNAcentral.